CGGGGUGCAGCAGGCGCGAAACCUCUGCAAUAGGCGAAAGCCUGACAGGGUUACUCUGAGUGACUUUCGUUAAGAGAGUCUUUUGGCACCUCUAAAAAGGGUGUAGAAUAAGGAGUGGGCAAGUCUGGUGUCAGCCGCCGCGGUAAUACCAGCACCCCGAGUGGUCGGGACGAUUAUUGGGCCUAAAGCAUCCGUAGCCGGUUCUGCAAGUCCUCCGUUAAAUCCAACUGCUUAACAGAUGGGCCGCGGAGGAUACUACAGAGCUAGGAGGCAGGAGAGGCAAGCGGUACUCAGUGGGUAGGGGUAAAAUCCGUUGAUCCAUUGAAGACCACCAGUGGCGAAGGCGGCUUGCCAGAAUGCGCUCGACGGUGAGGGAUGAAAGCUGGGGGAGCAAACCGGAUUAGAUACCCGGGUAGUCCCAGCCGUAAACGAUGCAGACUCGGUGAUGGGUUGGCUUCGUGCUAACCCAGUGCCGCAGGGAAGCCGUUAAGUCUGCCGCCUGGGUAGUACGGUCGCAAGACUGAAACUUAAAGGAAUUGGCGGGCGAGCAC
RNAcentral lists this ribosomal RNA (551 nucleotides) under uncultured archaeon. RNAcentral describes it as "bacterial SSU rRNA". It matches the Rfam family "Archaeal small subunit ribosomal RNA", at positions 326 to 879 of the family's 1478-position model. The record is from RNAcentral.